UAGUACGGAAUUAUCUCACAUU
RNAcentral lists this microRNA (22 nucleotides) under Tribolium castaneum (red flour beetle). RNAcentral describes it as "Tca-Mir-3841_3p (mature (guide))". Lineage: Eukaryota; Metazoa; Arthropoda; Insecta; Coleoptera; Tenebrionidae. The record is from RNAcentral.